CUUAUUCUCUCUCCUCCGUUUCUUGUUUUCUCUCGACUAUCUCUCCUCCCUCAAGGUCCUGUACUCUGUUCCAACGAAGACGCUAGGGCGGUGGUGCUCGCCGGAGCAAGAGCAGAAGUUUAUUGCGGUGUAGUUGGUGCGUAAAUUGUAGGUAGCUGCUACUAGAUUCGUUGUUUAAUUGAAGGUAUGGGCGCAAAACACUUCACGAAUUAUGAAUUUAUGUGUAAAUAUUGUAUUUGUGACAUUUUUUUGUUGUUAUGAAGUAUUAGUUUAUGUUAUCUAGGGUUUUCCAGUGAGUUUAGCGAUUUAGGGUUUCCUGUGUUGUUCAUUUGUUUAGUUGGGAAAAUUUUAGUGGGCGUGGUUCUAAAACCCUUAAUUGGAAUGAAUUUGUUGUUAUGAUGUUUUUCUUUAUGUGAUUGGCGGUUAUCCAGUGAAAUUAGCGAAUUAGGGUUUCCUUUGUUGUUCAUCUUUAUAAUUGGAAUUAAUUUGAGAUUGUGAAACCCGUAAUUGGAAUGAAUUUGUUGUUAUGAUGAUUUAUAUUAUGUAAUGCUUUGCUAUCCACUGAAAUAUGCGACCCUUUGUUGUUUAAUUUAAUUUGAAUCCAUGUAAAUGAGUGAUUAAUUGUGAGUUUUUUGUGGUGAAAGACGUAUUGAAUUAUGAAUAAUUGAUACUGUUACAUUAAGAAAUUAUGACUGUUGUGGUAUGUAUAUGUUAAUAUAGUGGAGAAAUUAUAUGUGAAGAGUUAUGGGUUUCUUGAAAUGGUUUUAUGUAGGUGGGAAAUCCCAUUUAUCGAGCGUACAUUUGAACUUGGUAGGAGGAAAUAAUGCCGAGGAAGAGCAAGGGAUCAAGAUUGGCGCGGGCAAAAUUCAUGAAUAAGAAGGCGCCUAAAAAUAAAGUAGCUUGUAAAGGGAAGAAGAAACUGAAAUCUGAUCCAGUUUUUCAGGUAAAGUAUUUAAAGGACUCUGAUGAAGCUGGUUUCGAUGAUGGUGAUUAUGAUGAAUCUAGUGGUGAUGAAUCUGGUUCUGAUGAUGUUGAUUCCACAGCUGGUGAUUAUGAGGUAGAUGAGGAUGCGGAGUACCACAGUGUAGGUAGUGAGGAAGAACCAGAACAGGACAAAGUGAGUUACUAAGAGCUCCUAAGCAAGUUAUUGCGGGAAAAGGUUGAGAAAGGGAAGCGCAAGCGAGGUCAUAUUGAGAAAAGGACAGGAAAAAGGGGCAAGCUAAAGGUCGAGAAGACGAAGGGAGAGGUGGUGAAGGAGAAAGGGGUUUUCGUUAAAACCCAAUCAAGAAGUACGCAGAAGGUACUCUCUGAACAUUAUUUGGUAUCCAUGACAUGGAAAUGUUUGUUGGGAUUUAUGUGGUUGGGCCUUGUUUAGGUAGUUGGAAAAAUGAACUGAAUUACUAAAGAUUUAUUGUAAAUUGUACUUGAGUUGUAAGUUAAGUAUGAAUAUUGUGAGUCCUUAAUUGGAUGUGCAAGAUUAAAAUCCCUUAUAGAAUAUUCACAAGUAAUUUUAAUGGGAUUGUAUAAUUAUUGUCUCUUUAGUUGGUAUAUAUGGAAGGGUAGUUGCUGUAAUUUGUUGUAAUUUAGUUGGAAAUGUAAAAAAUUGAGGUAACCUAGAAAGGAAUUAGUUAGAAUUGAAGAAUUUGAGUAACCUAGAAGGAAUUUAAUCGGUUAGUGGUUUUAUUUUGUGAGGCUUGGGUCGGUGUCAUUUGAUUGAAGUUUGUCUUGUUUGAAUGUAAUGUUGUAGGCCCCAAAUUUGCAUGGUGUGAAGGCUUUUGCAACCGCAUUGAAGAAUUUUGAUGACUCUAGGAAGAAGCUGGUCAUAGAAAUGGGUUUUUGAGGGUUGUUAAGUAUACCCCUAACUUUUGUACCCCGAAAGUUUGUGUACUGGUUGUUGACAAGGGUGAUUGGUGAUGGUUCGUUAACUUUUGGAGAUGAGUGUGUGCUUCCUUUGAGUCCUGUUUAGGUCGAGUACGUACUUGGGAUUGCCAUGGGGUCGAAGGCAUUGCCUUGUACGAUUCCUAAGGAUAAGCAGGAAGAGCACAGUAGAAUUUUGGAAAAGUUUGGGAAAAAUGAUAGCAUUUCAUUAGCAGCUGCUUUGGGGGCACUAAUUCGAAAGGAUGAGGAAGGUAAUGUGUUGCCGCUGUCGGGAUGACGAGAAGGCUGAUUUCAAGAUAGCCUUUCUCAUAGCAGCUCAGGGCUAUUUAUUAUGUGCUACGGAAAAUACAAGCUAUCUUGGGUUGAAGCUUGUUCUGUCAUUAUUUGUUUACGAUGAAGCUGAUGAGUAUGAUUGGUGCACUUAUGUAUUUAACUGGAUGAUUGUAGCAGCUAAGAGUUACCAAAAGAAAUUUGCUCAUGAUGGAUAUGUUGUAGGUUUGGGGGGUUGUAUCCUUUUUUAGUUGGUGAGUAAAAUUGGGUAUUUACCAUCGUACACCAAAAGCUUUUUGAGUAAUUUUAUUAAAUUGUGCAGUGUUAUCGUUUGUAAUGGUUAGUUCAACUAAAUCAUCCAUCCUGUCCUUUUAUUGUAGAUUUUUUAUCUAGAUCACCUAAGUCGCGUCCUAAUGAGGUGAAGUGUGAGACCGAGACAUGAGGCGUUGUCCGAAGAAAAGAUCAAUGAGACGGUUGGCGAUGAUAAAAAAGAAUUUGGGGAUUUCGGAAAAUUGCCAGUUAGUAUUAGUUCGACUUUAAUUUGAUGUGAAUACUGCUGAAGCUGUUGUGUUUGAUUCUUUUGAAGUCUCUAGAUAUAGCAUAUGGGGAGGAGCAUCCGUUGACUCCUCGGGUGGUUCCAAAGCAAAGGGUGGAAAGAGUUGACGUGCAACAGACUACGCAGGAGGUAGACGUGGAAAAUAUUACGCGGCAGGUGUUGGAUAGAAUUACUCUAAAGUUGAUGUCUGUGAUUGACUUGAAAUUAGGUGACGUUAUGAAAUUAGUGCAUUAGUUGAUGUCAUAGUGUGUUGACGUAGCUAAUGCCCAGAGAGUGAUUAGGGGGAAGCCAAUGAAGAGGGAAGUUGUUGUGCAUGAAGAUCAUCCUUUGGGCAGUUGUUUGUUAGAGAAGGAACAACUGAAAAGAAGGUGGGAAAGGACUUGGUGGGGAAGAAAUUAGGCAUGCUGAUGUAGUUUCAAGUGAAGAUGACCUGGACCGUGUGGUACAAAAGAUUUCGGUUGAUCCACUAUUUGCAGAGGCUGGGGGUGAUGUCAAGGUGGUUGGGGAUGAAUCCAAGGUGAAUGGGGUUGAUAAAGGUGUUGUCUUAGAGUUCCAUGGCUGUUGUUCUGAUUCUGAAGUGGAAGAUGAAAAUGUGGUGCCUAGACCUGAAAUAGUUGUGGGCUUGGUUGGGACGAGGGGAACUACUGUGUUGGUUGAUGCUCAGUGCAGUUUAGCAAAUUCAUCUUCAUCUGAUGAGGAAGAUGAGUCCACUGGGAAGGGGGGCAGAACUGCGGAUAAGAGGGUGGUGAAACCUACAGAGGCAGUCUUGUCAACCAUGUACACCAAUGUGCAAACACCCGACGCCAUACAACGGUCGAGGCACGUCUGCUGCAGUUUGUAAAGCGCUGGAAGGACCUGAAGGAUCUACUUAGGUA
This is a long non-coding RNA of Chenopodium quinoa (quinoa), 3579 nucleotides long. RefSeq lists it as uncharacterized. NCBI's taxonomy places the organism in Eukaryota, Viridiplantae, Streptophyta, Magnoliopsida, Caryophyllales, Amaranthaceae. The transcript has 4 exons. The record is from RefSeq and is a predicted model, not a curated record.